CCUACGGGUGGCAGCAGUGAGGAAUAUUGGUCAAUGGACGAGAGUCUGAACCAGCCAAGUAGCGUGAAGGAUGACUGCCCUAUGGGUUGUAAACUUCUUUUAUAAAGGAAUAAAACGAGGCACGUGUGCCUUUUUGCAUGUACUUUAUGAAUAAGGACCGGCUAACUCCGUGCCAGCAGCCGCGGUAAUACGGAGGGUCCGAGCGUUAUCCGGAUUUAUUGGGUUUAAAGGGAGCGUAGAUGGGUUGUUAAGUCAGUUGUGAAAGUUUGCGGCUCAACCGUAAAAUUGCAAUUGAUACUGGCAGUCGUGAGUACAGUUGAGGUAGGCGGAAUUCGUGGUGUAGCGGUGAAAUGCUUAGAUAUCACGAAGAACCCCGAUUGCGAAGGCAGCUUACUAAACUGUGACUGACAUUGAUGCUCGAAAGUGUGGGUAUCAAACAGGAUUAGAUACCCGAGUAGUC
Molecule: ribosomal RNA, 460 nt
Filed under: uncultured bacterium
Lineage: Bacteria
Description: partial 16S ribosomal RNA
Rfam family: Bacterial small subunit ribosomal RNA
Source: RNAcentral